This 301-nucleotide ribosomal RNA is filed under the name uncultured bacterium. RNAcentral's name for it is "partial 16S ribosomal RNA". It matches the Rfam family "Bacterial small subunit ribosomal RNA", at positions 509 to 809 of the family's 1533-position model. The record is from RNAcentral.
CAGCAGCCGCGGUAAUACGGAGGGUGCAAGCGUUAAUCGGAAUUACUGGGCGUAAAGCGCACGCAGGCGGUCUGACAAGUCAGAUGUGAAAUCCCCGGGCUUAACCUGGGAACUGCAUUUGAAACUGUCAGGCUGGAGUCUUGUAGAGGGGGGUGGAAUUCCAGGUGUAGCGGUGAAAUGCGUAGAGAUCUGGAGGAAUACCGGUGGCGAAGGCGGCCCCCUGGACAAAGACUGACGCUCAGGUGCGAAAGCGUGGGGAGCAAACAGGAUUAGAUACCCCCGUAGUCCUGUCUCUUAUACA